Anguilla rostrata (American eel) is the source of this 5170-nucleotide long non-coding RNA. RefSeq lists it as uncharacterized. The transcript is spliced from 3 exons. NCBI's taxonomy places the organism in Eukaryota, Metazoa, Chordata, Actinopteri, Anguilliformes, Anguillidae. The record is from RefSeq and is a predicted model, not a curated record.
ACACAUGUUGCAUGCUGCAUGCUGGGCAGGUGGAUCCAUAGAUUAGGGUGACUGACUGAGAUCAGACUGGUGUUAAGAUCCAGGAAAUGGUAAAGGCUCCUGAAAGUGUUGGCAGUAGUGGACUUGGCAGAGAGCUCCGGCAUGUUCCUCCACUCCGGACCUGAUAGAGACUCCUGCAGCGGUCUUUGCACCCCCACCCCCCCCACGCCCCCCCUGCCAUGGAGAGCUACACCUCCGUCUCCGCCAGCAACAUUCUGGCUCAACAUGGUGACCUUACACUGAACUCCACUAAUGGAACACACCGUCCUGCCCUGUGUGCUCAACCGAGAAACGCAGUCUUCUCUCCCCCCCGAAACGCACACCACACAUGCUAUUAUUAUUAUUAUUAUUAUUAUUAUUAUUAUUAUUAUUAUUAUUAUUAUCAGUAGUAGUAGUAGUAGUAGUAGUAUUAGGAAUAUUAUUAGUAAUAGUACUAGUAUUAGUAUUAGUAGUCCUAGCACUAACAACAUUAGCACUAACAACAUUAGCCUUUUUGUACUUCACAGUUGAUGGGAUGGAUAGGAGGUAAGGCCCAAAGUGAAAGGAGAGAUGGCUUGACUGUGAUUUGGAGGCAUUCAGUCUCAUUCAGCCAAGUUUUUAUCUCUUAUCAGCAACUGCCCUUUUAACUGUCAGAAUUUGUUAUUGAUCUGUUACUUUCAACAUUAUGUGUUGAUAAGACGCUGCUAUGAAAGUUUCAUUUUAAUGAAAUCUGAUUUUUAUCUGACAACAUUUUUCCUCAGUGUGUCACAACCGUGUCAUAUGAUAUUCUCGCUCUGUUUAGUUCCUGUUUUGGAGUUCUGAUUUGUAUCUGAGGGAAGUGGAUCUGGGCCCGGGGGACAAUGCAGGGCUGCGAAGCUCAGCCCGGGACGGGUCCAGAACGGGUCCAGAACGGGUCCAGAACGGAACUUGUGGGAUAAAUCUGUGAUCUCAGAGGCCAAACCGACAGGGUGCUGGCUGAACAACGUGCCUAUCAUCACACGCACGGCAGCUGGGUAUUUCUGCCGUUUGUUUUUAAUGUCACGGGUUCUUGUCGUCUGGUUCAUAUUUAAUAUUGCCUUGUGCAUUCUUGCAUAUUUUGUAUUUGUGUACUCUGUUCUCUUGGCAAUGGGAGAUUGCAGUGAGGAUUAUAUUUCUGGUUAAAUACAGGAUACAUUUAAUUAAAAUGAGUCAGUGAAAGUUCUUUUGGAACUGAAGGUGGGUUAGUGGAACUGGAGUGGAGAUGUUGUACCUGGUGAUUUGACUAGUGGUUUGUAUUGUUGACUAACUAGUGGCUUAAAAUGUUGACUAACUAGUAGUUUGUAUUGUAGGUUGACUGGUUUGUGUUGUGAUUUGUUUGACUGUUGCAGUGACUGAACCCCUCCCCCCCCCGGCCCCCCACCCCAGCUCUUGUUUUGGGUCUCUGCCAGGCGGCCUUUCCUUCUGUUUACUCUCUGAACUUUAUCUCAAAGAAGCAGGCGUCAGAACCUCCGGACAGAAACAAAACCAACGCUGACCUCUGACCUUUCAACGACCAAUCACAUAGCUGUGCCUGACCACUGACCCGUACAAAGACCAAUCACAAAGAAGGAAAGGAGUUUAUUGACUAAGUGAGUCUGUUAUCACAGUCUAUUAUAUUUUCAAAUGAAAGAAAGACUUAUCACAGCAUUUAGCAGGUCUUUUGGCAUCUUUACAAUGGCCCUGAAUUGAUAGUAGCUUUGCUACUCUCCAGCUGAAGAGUUGGAUCUAAUCAUUCCCUAAGUUACUUUGGGUAAAAUCCCCUGCUAAAUCCCUGUCGUCUUUAAGGAUGGACAAAUCUCUCUGGAUUUUUAAAAAUUUAACAACACAUAAAAAACAACCUGGAAAGGGGAAACUGAAUGUGCUCUUUUCUAAAUCACAGUUUUAUUGUGCACCACAAAACAGAGAUCAGUGCUUAGACCCACUCUCGGUCUUUACCGUGUUACUUCUGAUGAGAAAUGAAGCUUUGAUUUAGAGGGUAAAACUUUGCAAACUCUGUUUUGUUUUUCAGUUCACAUGCAGUUUUCAGUAGCAAACCGGUGAGACCUGGUUGGAGAUCUGUUUUUUAGUCAAUAAAGUAUUGGGAGCUGUAAUCCAGUGUGCGGAUAUCCAUUUUUCUUCAAUCUUCACGUGUUUAUCCUCCACCUGGCCUCAAAACAGGUUGGAUGUGCACACAGCUACUCUACUGUGGAGAUCUAACUGGCCAAGCCAAGACAAAAAGACGUCAUAAAAUACUUGCUAAGAUGUUCAUAUUGAAGCUAACUGACCGAUCCAGUCAUGGAUUGGGUCACUGUUUACAUGAGCUUAAUUAAAGACCGUUUAAAUGUUUCCAUGGCGCUGUGUUUCUGGGAAUACCCGUUUCACGAGUGCCUUUCUCAGUCAGCGAUUCUGUGUGCACAUUGUGUGUUUCGUUUCUGUGAUUAUUGUGCGACAGGGUCUGAGCUGGUGGUGAAGCCCAGCUUUCUGCAGAAAUGUGCUGCAGAGUCAGAGUCUAACAGAACAAUGUGUGUGUGUGUGUAUGUGUGUGAGAGAGAGUGUGUGUAUGCAUGAGAGAGAGAGGGUGUGCGUGUGUGUGCCUGUGUGUGUGUGUGUGUGAGAGAGAGAGAGAGAGAGUGUGUGUGUGUGUAUGUGUGUGUGUGUGUGUGGAGUUCAGCGACAUCAGCCAGUGAUCGUCAUAAGCGCUUCUCCUUCCAUCACUAUGACAUCAUCACUUCUGUCAUGGCCGCUUGCCCUGUCAUCAAGCGUUGGCUCCAAAAUUCAUAGUGCUGUGACUAAACCUGCCUGUGACCUCACUGCACACACACACACACACGCAUUAAACCCGCCUGUGACCUCACUGCAUGAGUGAAUACUCAGGGCGGCUACUGACGGGUGUCAGCAUAGGAUUCAACCCUGCAACCCCCAGAGUUACACGUCCCAUUUCUGAGACAGCCCGGGAAUGCCGUGAUUAGGUCAUAAUUGAUGUGACGUAAGAACUUUUGCUUUCUCAACCGUUCGUCAUGGCGUUACGCACGCGGGGCUGUCCCCUCGGCCGGGGCGCGGUGAAUCAGCGACGGCUUCUGCCUCCGGCGCGCCGCUGAGCUGCGCGCUGAGGGGAAACACUCGUGGGUCAUUGUGAUUGUUUAAGCCGCAUCCAGUGGCCAAAUAUCAGGCAGCCGCUAGAGAAGUUGACUCUAUUUUUAGAAACAUAUUGUGUCUUACAGACCUGGGUCAAAUACUUGUUGGAAGUGAUUUAGCCCUUUAGACACUGGUAAAAUUCCUGCAGAUUACUCACAGUUUCAAAAUGAAACAUCCACUUUCACAAAUUUUCAGAACAGAGAUAGUAACACAUUUUUAUUGAACAAAUUCUCAGGGAUCUACGGGAGUGUUUUUGAAUUUUUAAUAAUCAUUUAAAGAGUGCGUGUAUUUCGCAUAUGUCUUUGGCCUUUGACCCAAGUUUGAUGCCUGGCUAAGUUUCUAAAUUUUAAAUCUGUCAAUCAUGUCUUUGGCAGUUUAAUCCUGGGCAGAUUUGGAUUUAGAUUCAGAAUUUAUUUCAACACUGAUUGAUUUGUAUUAUAUUAACAAAAAUUACCAAACCAAAGUGAUGAUUCAAUAUGGAAAAAUGGAAAACCAAAGGCUGUGUAGGAAUGUGUUCCUGAGAUGCCUUUAUCCCUCCAGGCCGAACUGCUGAAAUGUUUGGCACUGACCUGGCGCCUUCUCGGGAUCGUCGCAGCAACGUCCCGCCCUUAUUUUGGCAGUUCCUGUGAAGGCCUUGGCUGUGUUUUCACCUGAAACAGAGACUCAUUCUGCUCAGGAGACUGCGGGGGCCAGGAAACGACUUGUUUCCGCGUGAACGACACGCUUCCACGGCAGACGCAGCCCCCUGCUUGCCUGCCUGCCUGCCUGGCCGCCGACUGCAGCUAGAUGGAUCACCCCCCUCCCCGCCCCCCCACCCCUCCACCCCCCUCUGUGUGAACCCCUCCGAGAGCCGUCUGUAAGCACAACCCCUCCCCAAACCCGUCUAGGCAAUUUUUUAACUGGUUGUUUACCCAACAUUUACCGCACGCUGCUCUUAGAAAUAUUAUUUUUCAAUUCAGCCAUUUAGCAGAUUCUUUUAAUACUUUUGAUCCAAAGCCACUUCGAUAAAUCGCCUCUCAAGCUGAAGAUCAGCAAAGCGGCGAUCAAAUCAUGGCCAUCGCAGAAACGGGCGCUGCAAGAUUCGCUAAAAAAAUGGAGAGAAAGGUUUGAUGGGGUGUGCUUGUUCACAUGUAACUCUGCUCAGAGGUGUAUUAAAAUGAUCUGGUUUUGGGUAUGCUUUGUGUAUUCAGUGAUAUAACAUGUCAUUGGGCCUACAGCCACACCAUGUGUAGCAUAAUACCAAAUUUUCAUACAAUGAGAAAGGCCAAUCAGAAACACAGCAGGAUAGUGACAUGGGCCAAUCAGAAACACAGUAGGAUAGUGACAUGGGCCAAUCAGAAACAGAGUAGGAUAGUGACAUGGGCCAACCAGAAACACAGGAGGAUAGUGACAUGGGUCAAUCAAAAAGACAGUAAGGUGUUGGAGGUAGGGGUUAAGGUAGAGUAGAGGGCUGCCGGUAGAGCAUCCUGCUUUCAGGACCACGGACAGUGUUGGACUCGCCUACAGGCAGCACAGCUGAGGCUGAAUUUACAGGCAGCACAGCUGAGGCAGAAUCUACAGGUAGCACAGCUGAGGCAGAAUCUACAGGCAGCACAGCUCAGGCUGCAGGCUGACCCUACAUGCUGAGGUUAAUUAGUCAGGCCAGGGCCUGCAUGUGACGGCACAGCCUGCUGUAAGUAGAGACAGAAACCUGAGAGAGGCAGGAUCACAGUGGAGAAAGUGCUGUGGUGGGGAGGGGAGUGGAAUCCUCAGCUGAACUGGGGGGGUUUGUUUACAGGUGGAGAGCUGGCCGCGCUCUGAACCUCACCCCACAGUCUGGGGCUUAAAGGCUCAGAGGCAAAUAACCGCCAUAAUUAACGCAGUCAUUACAGUCCUGCGGAUCACUCAGUACAGGGGGGGGCUGUGUUACCGUGGGACGAUGACUGAGGAUGUCCAAAGUUCAGCAUUGCAGGGAUUUUUGAAAACGAUUUCCCCUCCAUUAUAAUUAGUUUUACCGAAGGCUAGGAAAUGUAAUUUAGUU